UAGUAACGGCGAGUGAAGCGGGAUGAGCUCAAGCUUAAAAUCUCCGUGCAAUUUUUGCACGGCGAAUUGUAGUCUAUAGAGGCGUGGUCAGUGUGGGCACUUGGGGUAAGUUCCUUGGAAGAGGACAGCAUGGAGGGUGAUACUCCCGUUCAUCCCUAAGUUGCUUGUGCGUACGACCCGUUUUCUUUGAGUCGCGUUGUUUGAGAAUGCAGCGCAAAGUAGGUGGUAAAUUCCAUCUAAAGCUAAAUAUUGGUGCGAGACCGAUAGCAUACAAGUACCGUGAGGGAAAGAUGAAAAGAACUUUGAAAAUAGAGUUAAAGAGUACCUGAAACUGCUGAAAGGGAACCAAAUCGUUUCCAGUGUCUAUAAUCCGUGGUAUAUUACAUUGGCGAGUGUGUGCGUGCGUGUGCUGUUGCAGUGGCUUUUUGGCUGCGCUCGGCGUGUGUGCUGUGUGUGCUUGCUGGUGCCCUGUACUGCGGUGGGACGUCAAGGUCAGUUCGUAUGCUGCGGGAAAUGACCACCGAGGAGGUAGGGCUUACGCUUGCGUUUGUCUGUUAUAUCUUGGUGGACGAGUCGUCGCGGUUGGGACUGAGGUGCCUACAACGUGCUUUUGAGUGGGCUUGGGUCUCCGUGUGCGCCGUGUGCGGAUAGCUUGCUAUGCGUGUGUGGUUGUGUGUGGAU
RNAcentral lists this ribosomal RNA (681 nucleotides) under Plasmopara densa. RNAcentral's name for it is "LSU rRNA". It matches the Rfam family "Eukaryotic large subunit ribosomal RNA", at positions 81 to 606 of the family's 3401-position model. The record is from RNAcentral. Lineage: Eukaryota; Oomycota; Peronosporomycetes; Peronosporales; Peronosporaceae.